This 427-nucleotide ribosomal RNA is filed under the name uncultured bacterium. RNAcentral's name for it is "partial 16S ribosomal RNA". It matches the Rfam family "Bacterial small subunit ribosomal RNA", at positions 355 to 774 of the family's 1533-position model. The record is from RNAcentral.
UGGGGAAUAUUGGACAAUGGGCGAAAGCCUGAUCCAGCCAUGCCGCGUGUGUGAAGAAGGUCUUCGGAUUGUAAAGCACUUUAAGUUGGGAGGAAGGGCAUUAACCUAAUACGUUAGUGUUUUGACGUUACCGACAGAAUAAGCACCGGCUAACUCUGUGCCAGCAGCCGCGGUAAUACAGAGGGUGCAAGCGUUAAUCGGAAUUACUGGGCGUAAAGCGCGCGUAGGUGGUUUGUUAAGUUUGAUGUGAAAUCCCCGGGCUCAACCUGGGAACUGCAUCCAAAACUGACUGACUAGAGUAUGGUAGAGGGUGGUGGAAUUUCCUGUGUAGCGGUGAAAUGCGUAGAUAUAGGAAGGAACACCAGUGGCGAAGGCGACCACCUGGACUAAUACUGACACUGAGGUGCGAAAGCGUGGGGAGCAAACA